Molecule: transfer RNA, 76 nt
Filed under: Pannonibacter phragmitetus
Lineage: Bacteria; Pseudomonadati; Pseudomonadota; Alphaproteobacteria; Hyphomicrobiales; Stappiaceae
Also listed under: 10 other names
Description: tRNA-Lys
Rfam family: tRNA
About the family: Transfer RNA (tRNA) molecules are approximately 80 nucleotides in length. Their secondary structure includes four short double-helical elements and three loops (D, anti-codon, and T loops).
Source: RNAcentral
GGGUGUAUAGCUCAGUUGGUAGAGCAUCUGACUCUUAAUCAGACGGUCCAAGGUUCGAAUCCUUGUGCACCCACCA